This 498-nucleotide ribosomal RNA is filed under the name uncultured bacterium. Its description in RNAcentral is "bacterial SSU rRNA". It matches the Rfam family "Bacterial small subunit ribosomal RNA", at positions 501 to 1000 of the family's 1533-position model. The record is from RNAcentral.
CUACGUGCCGGCAGCCGCGGUAAUACGGAGGGUGCGAGCGUUAAUCGGAAUAACUGGGCGUAAAGGGCACGCAGGCGGUGACUUAAGUGAGGUGUGAAAGCCCCGGGCUUAACCUGGGAAUUGCAUUUCAUACUGGGUCGCUAGAGUACUUUAGGGAGGGGUAGAAUUCCACGUGUAGCGGUGAAAUGCGUAGAGAUGUGGAGGAAUACCGAAGGCGAAGGCAGCCCCUUGGGAAUGUACUGACGCUCAUGUGCGAAAGCGUGGGGAGCAAACAGGAUUAGAUACCCUGGUAGYCCACGCUGUAAACGAUGUCGAUUUGGGGGUUGAACUUUAAGUUUGGCGCCCGUAGCUAACGUGAUAAAUCGACCGCCUGGGGAGUACGGCCGCAAGGUUAAAACUCAAAUGAAUUGACGGGGGCCCGCACAAGCGGUGGAGCAUGUGGUUUAAUUCGAUGCAACGCGAAGAACCUUACCUACUCUUGACAUCCAGAGAACAUUC